UACGUAGGGGGCAAGCGUUGUCCGGAUUUAUUGGGCGUAAAGAGCGUGUAGGCGGCUAUACAGGUCCGUUGUGAAAACUCGAGGCUCAACCUCGAGACGCCGAUGGAAACCGUAUGGCUAGAGUCCGGAAGAGGAGAGCGGAAUUCCUGGUGUAGCGGUGAAAUGCAUUGAGAUCGGAAAGAACACCAACGGCGAAAGCACUCUGCUGGGCCGACACUGACACUGAGAGACGAAAGCUAGGGGAGCAAAUGGG
Molecule: ribosomal RNA, 253 nt
Filed under: uncultured bacterium
Lineage: Bacteria
Description: partial 16S ribosomal RNA
Rfam family: Bacterial small subunit ribosomal RNA
Source: RNAcentral